CGCCUGCCCAGUGAUAAAAUUAAACGGCCGCGGUAUUUUGACCGUGCAAAGGUAGCGCAAUAAAUUGUCCCUUAAUUAGGGACUAGUAUGAAUGGCAUCACGAGAGCUUAGCUGUCUCCCCUUUAAAGUCAAUGAAAUUGAUCUCCCCGUGCAGAAGCGGGGAUAUAAACGUAAGACGAGAAGACCCUAUGGAGCUUUAGAUAUAAAGCAACUCAUGUCAAACACCCCUAAAGGAAAUGAACAGAAUGAGCCUUGCCAGUAUGUCUUCGGUUGGGGCGACCACGGGGAAAAACAAAACCCCCACAUGGACGGGCCACUCAGCCCUAAAAUAUAGACCCACAGGUUAAAUCAACAGAACUUCUGACCACUAAGACCCGGCUUUUGCCGAUUAAUGGACCUAGUUACCCUAGGGAUAACAGCGCAAUCCUCUCCAAGAGCUCUUAUCGACGAGGGGGUUUACGACCUCGAUGUUGGAUCAGGACAUCCUAUUGGUGCAGCCGCUAUUGAGGGUU
This 512-nucleotide ribosomal RNA is filed under the name Dasyscopelus spinosus (spiny lantern fish). Its description in RNAcentral is "partial 16S ribosomal RNA". It matches the Rfam family "Bacterial large subunit ribosomal RNA", at positions 1856 to 2573 of the family's 2925-position model. Lineage: Eukaryota; Metazoa; Chordata; Actinopteri; Myctophiformes; Myctophidae. The record is from RNAcentral.